RNAcentral lists this long non-coding RNA (9933 nucleotides) under Solanum pimpinellifolium. Its description in RNAcentral is "long non-coding RNA (SPIM_LNC000268)". Lineage: Eukaryota; Viridiplantae; Streptophyta; Magnoliopsida; Solanales; Solanaceae. The record is from RNAcentral.
UAUGGGAAUAAUCACCGAGAAUAAUCUCACUGCCCCUAAUUGGGCAAUGAGUAAGCACACUGAUAAGGUUGCCCAUAGUGCCUGAAGGAACAAAUAAUCCUGCUUCCUUGCCCGUUAUCCUUGCCAUCUCUGCUUCAAGGUGUUGGGCUGUUGGAUCAUAACCCAAGACAUCAUCAUCCACUUCAGCAUUGGUCAUUGCGUUCCGCAUGGCUUCAGUUGGUUUAGUGACUGUGUCUGAGCGAAGAUCCACAGUUCUUUUCACCAUCUUCACUGAACUACAAAACAGAAACACGGCAAUAUGGACCGUUCGCCUAGCUUUAGUAUGCCCAUGUAGGAAAAAAUAAAAUAAAUUGCAAACAACUUUUUCAGCAGCAAAACAUCAAUACCCGACAAAAAAAGAUUGUUAGCUGGAAUUUUAGGAAGUAUCCAGGAAACAGACCUAUAGACUCCCAAACAACAUGGGCGGAUGAAGUAUGGUCACCAGUUAACAAAAAGAGAGAGUUUAUCACUCACCAUGCAAUAAGUAAACCUGUCUCAAGAAGGAACUUGAAAACAAAUAAAUGGUAAAGGAAUUAGUGGCGGAGCUACCUUUGUCCGAGGAGUGACACUAGACACCUUUUUUCUAGAAAAUUAUGUUGAAUCCUCUUGACUUCUUCGUGUGUUUACUCCUACAUAAACUACCUUCAAUGAAAACCCCAGCGUACUCUAAUCUACAAACAACUGUCACUAAGUCUCAAUCCCAAACUAACUGGAGUCAGCUAAGAUCAUCUACAAACUAGAUAGUCCAGAAAAGCUCAUUCUAUCUUUAAUGAAAUUGCUUAGGUAACAAAAUAAAUAAGCCGUGCUGGUGUGGAUAACUCUGAAAUUAGCAAGUCAAGACUAAGUUCCAUAAAAAAGAUAAAUGAUGUAUACAGUUGGGUCACACAGACAAUAUGAGGAUUUAACUCAGAUAAAUCUUGAUAACCUCAAUCAUAUUUACACUAAUACGGGACAUUAUAUAUUACUACUCACUCCAUCCUGAAAUAGGUGUCAAUCUUCUCUUUUCGAGGGUCAAUGUGACUAAUCUUCGAAGCUAAAUUGGAUUAUAUCAACUCAAUAUAGGGUCUAUUGUAAAUCACCUCUCUACCUCCCAAGGCAGGGGUGUAAGGUAUGCGUAUACUUUACCCUCUCCAGACUCUACAGGGAAGUAGGGGUAAGAUAUCUGUACUCAAUACCCUCUCCAAACCCCAAAUUAUCGAGGGAAUAUUAUUGUUGUAUUUUAAAAUUAAAAUUGUGAUUUACAAACACUACAUCAAAACUAUUAUAAGUUGCAAUUCUAAUAAAAAAAAUACUGCAUUUUAAAAUAUUGUUUACUGUUCACAUGGUUUGAAUCUCGAGAAGAGAAAAAUGACAAAAAUUUGGGAUGAAGGGAGUAAUAUAUUUCAAAACCUUUUCUGAUACUCAAAACAUUAUACAGUUUAGCAUAAACAUAAAAGCUAAAGGAAAUAAAAAAAUGGAAAAAAGUUCAUACUUUGUAAGCUUCUCUUCUCUGUAUCUUCAAAACAACAAUGCUAAAGAGACAAUUCACUCAACUGCAAACCAAAUUCCACAAGUUAAUCACAACAAACAACAACUAAAAAGAAAUAAUCAAAUUAUUCAAGAAAAAAUUAAAUUAAUUCAACAUACAAAGAAGCAUUCCUCCUUCAAGGGAAAAAAAACAACCAAAAACCACACAAACAAACAAUAACAACAACAACAACAUACCAGUGGAAUCCCACAAGUGGAGUCUGGCAGGGUAAAGUAUACGCAGACCUUACCACUACGCUGUUUCUGUUCCGGAAGACCCUCGGCUCAAAAAUAUUCGGCUCCAAAACCACACAAAAAAGAACAAUAAUUUUUUUCAGUUCCUAACUCAAUGGGUGUCUAUCUUCUAAGCCACAACUUUCAAAGAACCAAAGAGAAAUAACAUUAGUACACAUACAUACAAACAAUUAUCAACAAACCCCAGUAAUCAAGAUCUGGAAUUUUGCAUAAAAAUUCAAUCUUUUUCCCAUAAAACCAAACCCCACCACCCCAAAAUCACAAGAAGAUGAAAAAUUUAAACAUACCAACUUUUGGACUGAUUACACUGAUACAAAACAAAAAAGAAAAGAGUGAAAUAGAAGUAGUAUCACAUCAACAGAGAUAUCACCAAACACCUGUAAGGUCUGAAAAUAAGACAGCAAUAAGCACAUUUAGUUACAUGCAUGCAAUUUUUCCUUUUUUGGCUUAUAUCAAGAUUUUGUUACUUAAGAAAAAGACUCAUAUGUGACAAGUUUAUAGCUUUUGUAGUUUUGCUUACCAAUUAGCUGUUCCUCUUUGUUUUGUAAUUUUGUCCCUUGGAGGACUCCUUUUAUAGCAUGGAUGAGGAAUAAUUAGUUUGAAAUUUGUUUUAUUGAUUAGAAUAAAAAUUUAGAAAAAUUAUUUUGGAAAUGUAAUGUUAUUUUUAUCUUAUAUCAAGCCUAAUACAAUAGUUUUAAAAUAAUUUAUUUUCCAAUUAAAAUGAGCUUAAAAAAGCUUUUUAUAUUUUGCGAUGACUAUUUUAAUAUAACAAUUCCGCCCGCUAGUGAUAUUAUUCGCUUUGGGCCUAAGCUCGCACUACUUUAAAACGCAUCACUCAGUCCACCAGUGAUAUUGUCCGCUAGGCCCGAACAGCUUUAAAACACAUCGCUAGCAGGUAAUAUUUGUUUACUUAUAUAGUCAACAUCUCUCUUGAGUUUUGCGAUGUGAGACUUCUCAUCUCAAGAUGGAUUAUUAUAUACACCUCCUCUAGCUGAGGUUUGCUCCACUAUAUAAGAUUCGCCUAAACUCAACACUGAGAUUUACCCUGUAGUGGCUCUGAUACCAUCUAUAACAGCCCAGCCUACUAGUGAUAUUGUCUGCUUUGGAUCUAGACCCGCACGGCUUUAAAACGCGUCACUAGUAGGUAAGACUUAUUUACUUGCAUCUUCCUUGUGUUUCGCCGAUGUGGACUUCUUAUCUUAAGAAGAAUUGUAACAUUCAACUUUUAUUUUAUUGAUGAGAUUUCAAUUUGACAUCUUAUAUUUAGUCAUAAUUUAGGAAAUUUUUCUUUGCUAGAUUAAUAUGGAUAAACAGUUGAGCAUUAUGAUAAUAUUUAUUACUCCACCAAUAAAAAGGAAUAUCAUUCUGUAUUCUCAAGUAAAGAAAAGCUUCUUUAAUAUUAUUUUAAUUACAACAACAACAUACCCAGUGAAAUCCCACAAAUGGGGUCUGGGGAGGGUGCAGACCUUAAUUGAUUUUACUUUUUCUAAAUUAAUGUAGAUAAACAGUUGAGCUCUAUUUAUUAAUCCAUUAAUAAGAAAAAAAUCAUCUUUUUUUCUUAAUAAAAGGAUUAUUUAACCAUAUUUUUAAGAGUGUUAUUUUGUGCUAGAUCAUUAUGAACAAACAUCUAAGUACUAUAAUAUUUAUUUAAUCACAUUUUAAGGAUUUCAUUACUUGCUAUAUUAAUAUGGAUUUAUGAUAAUAUAUAUGACUCCACCUAUAGGAAGGAAUAACAUUCUUUAUAUAUUGAUAAACAUUUGAGCAUUAUGGUAAUAUUUACUAUUCCAUCAGUAAAAAGAAAUAUCAUCCUUUAUACAUUGAUAGACAGUUGAGCAUUAUAAUAAUAUUUAUUAUUCCAGCAAUAAGAAAAAUAUCAUUUUAUAUUCUCAUAUAAAGGAAAGAUUCUUUAAUAGUAUUUUAAAAAAAAUGAAUUUUUUCUAAAUUAACAUAGAUAAGCAAUUGAGCUCUAUUUAUUAAUUCAUCAAUGAAAAGAAAAAUCAUUUUUUCCCUUAAGAAAGGGAUUAUUUAACCAUAUUUUAAGAGUGUCAUUUUGUGCCAGAUUAAUAUGAACAAACAUCUUAAGUAAUGUAAUAUUUAUUUAAUCAUAUUUUUUAAGAAUUUUAUUAUUUGCUAAAUCAAUACUUUAUGCUCUCCUCUUUCGAUUAAAGUCAGAGCUUAGAAUGAAAUUAGUUCUUGAGUCAACUUAUCAGUCUUUAUUGACUUGAAGCUCUUGAUUUUUUGUUCCAUUUAAGAAGAUCCAUUUUAGCUUUCCAUUUGUAUCUCUUUCGGUCUCGAUUACUUCUCACAGAUGUUGUAACAUGCAGGCCGGAAUUUUGAACGUUACUUGACCGCAAUAAAUUUUCCAACUAGGUGGAAGAGGUUGUGAUUGUUGUAGUUGGCAUUAAUUUGUUAUCCCACAUCUAAAGUUUAGGACUUUGUUAGGGGAUGUUGGGACUAUAAAAGAGUUUAUCCCACAUCUAAAGUUUUGAACAUUGUAAGGGGAUGUUGGGGUUAUAAAAGAGACCCUCACCUCCCAUUCUAAACACACCAAAAAUUUGUUUCUUUUCUCUCUAUUAAUAAGAGCGGUGAUAUUUGUGCGGUGCCCGGAGAGUAGGCAUAUUCUGCUGAACUCCGUUAUCAAAUUUAUAGUCUUUCUUUUAUUUUCUUUUGUAUUCAAUAUUUUGUUGGGUCUUUUAUUUCUUUGGCUAUUUUGUGGAAAAAUUCUCAGUGAUGAUUGAUUGGAGGUUUCCUUUCUACAAUAAGUCAAAAGUUAGAGAAUAGAAAAGGAAUUGAUCCUUUCUUAGUUGCAUGCUUGUAGCCACAAAUGUUAUAGGAAAUAGGGAUUCAUUUAUCAACUCAUUUCGUUUGUGGAGUGUGGUAUUUACUUUUGACAAUUACUCCCUAAUAGUUGCGCAGCAGGUGGAAUAAAUCUACCCGAAGUUUUCAUUAUGAUAAUAUUUAUUACUUCACCAAUAAGAAAGAAUGUCAUUUUGUAUCCUUCAUUUGAGAAUACAGAAUGACAUUCCUUCUUUUUGGUGGAGUAACAAAUAUUAUCAUAAUAAAAGUUUCGGGUAGAUUUAUUCCACCUGCUGCAGCAGCUGUGGGAAGGAGUAAUAUCAGAGAAUUUUUCUUUAAUAAUAUUUUAAUUAAUUUUAAUUAUCCUAAAUUAAUGUAGAUAAACGACUGGGCUCUAUCUAUUGAUCCAUCAAUAAGAAGAAAAAUCAUUUUUUUUUCUUAAUCAUAUUUUUAAGAGUGUUAUUUUAUGCUAGAUUAAUAUGAACAAGCAUCUAAGUACUAUAAUAUUUACUUAAUCAUAUUUAUAAGGAUCUUAUUAUUUGCUAGAUCAAUAUGAAUAAAUAAUUGAGUAUUAUGAUAAAAUUUAUUACUCCACUAAUAAGAAGGAAUAUCACUCUUUAUUCUCAAACAAAAGAAAGGUUCUUUAACAAUAUUUUAAAGAAUUUUAAUUUUUUUUAAAUUAAUGUAAAUAAAAUAUUUCAAAUUCUCUAGAAAAUGUGACACAUUCAAUAAUAUUUUAAAAAUUCAAACAUGGCUCUUUUAUUAAAAAUAGAAAAAUUUAAAGCAGGUACUAAUUCUUUUGCAGGAUUCCAUUCCCACUUAUUAUUUAUUCAAGUCCUUAUUUAUUUAUUUAUUUAUUGCUUUUUCUAUUCUUCAUUCACACUACAAAGUCAUAUACUAAUAAUAUUUCAUCAUGGAAUUUCAGAAAAAUUUCCUUUAAUUUAAAUAUUCAAUACUCACGAAACACAUGAUUUAAAAAUAUUAGUGGAAAUUAAUUUAAACAAAACACAAUAGAUGCUUUUGUUAAAUAUUUAACACAUUUUAAGAUGGUCAUAAGCUAUAUGUCAAAGAUAUGAAAAUAUUUAAACAUUUAAGUAUUAUAAAAAUAUUUAUUACUCCAUCAAUCACCUUCCCCAUUAAUUCUAUAGUGCGAGUUAUGUCACGUGCAUAACUAGAUAUGAAAUUUAUCUAAUUAAUGAAAGAAAAAAAAAGGCAAACAUAAUUUUUUAUAAUCUAAAUUAUUUAAUCGUGAAAUAUUUGAAUUUAAAUUUGUACGACAAAUUGAUUCUCUUUUUUAAAAAAUUCGCAGACUAAUUAUACAUAAUGAUAACACUUAAAUUAUUAAGCAAUGAAUAACAAUAUAAGAAUUAACCCCAAAAAAAUAAUAAAAGAAAAUUUUAAAUAAGUCGUACAUAAAUAAUUAUAUAAGAAUUUCUACUUUUAUUAAGGGGUCAAUUAUUUUAAUCCUCAAUUUCAACUUGUAAUACUAUAAUUUCACUUGAAAUCUUUUUGGUGGAAUAUUAUCACUUUAAUUUGGGGUUUUUAUUCCAACCCCACUACCAAAGAGCAUAAUUUGAAAGGGAUUAACUUAAUAAAUAGUGUUAUUUGCAUACCUAUAUAAUAUUCAUGCGCGUAUAAUAUCUUAUCUUAAUUGAAAUUGUUCAGACAUAAUAUAUGAUUAUAACUGUAACAUAUAUGUGUGGCUAGUCGUAUAAGUAUGUAAUAUUGUGUCAGAAAUAUCACCUAUAAAUGUGGUCAACUGAAUUCAAUAUACGCGUGUCUUCAAAUUAUACAUGCAUAGAGAAUUUUGACAAAGCAAUAUCAAUUUUUCGAUACAUACUAUAUGCUAUAACAUACAUAAUGCACACACCAUAAAUAUUCGUUGGAACUAAAUUAAAGAACAUAUUUAUGAAUCAUGCCAAUAUCACUAAACAUAUACAGUAACACACACACUACAUUCAUUAUGGCCGUCGAAUUUCAAUUUGUUCGUUUGAUUUUUAAUUUGACACAAUUUAAGACGGUCCAACUGCAAACAGAGUCUUUUUGAUCACUAAAAGGACAUGAAAUGAAAAGUUUAAAAGAUUGACUAAAUUUGCAAACUGGCUUCUCCCAUGUAGCAUUUGGAACAGCUUCCAACAGAAAGUGAUCAUGUCUGAAGCCGUUUAUCUGGUUAACUUGUCACCAUUUUCUUCAGCCACUCCUGCUAAAACUCGCUGCAGAUGUUUAACACGAAAAAAGAUGAACAUUGAGUUUACGAGUGAUCAUUUUCGACUUAUUUAGCUGCUUACCUGAAGGCAAGACACUGCAUAGUGCACAUCACUUUCUGAAAUCUGGUGGUGUAUAACAAAUCUGAUUCUGCAAAAUAGGAAUUGGCAACAUUGCUAAGUCGCGGAAGGUCUUGGAUUUGAUAUAACGAAUGCAGGUCUAUUACAAUCUGGAGGAUACCAAUAUUUGGAGGUCUCGUUGUUUCCAUAAAUAAGUCGACUAAAGGAGAAUAGACAACCAAAUCUUUCAAAACAUAUCAAAACUAUUGUAUAGUUGUUGAUCUUCUAUCUUACAAACAAAAUGCAAGUUUGAGCACUAGUGGCAGAGUUUGAAUUGAAAAACUAGUCAGCAGAGGGGAGGCAUGUCAGAUCCUCCAAAAGUAGUGUUUGUUUUGACAUCAUUUUUGAUACAUCAAGAAAGGAAAAGAUAGGGUGUCACGUGUAUCAGCGUCUUGAAAGUACAUAUUAUGUAAUGUCUCACUAGUUGAACUUUAAACAGGCUUAGCAUGCAUAAACAAUCAAGGAUAAUAUGUAGAUGUGCUUAGAUAGAGAUUUGAGGAACAAAAAGACAAGCGCACCUCAGUGGGCCUUCUGGUAAUAGAAGUAAACCAUAUUUUUCCAAAGUCUUGAUCAACUCUGUUUCGCUGAUCUUUGACCCCUUCAGUAUAUCGCAAUAUACCUGAAGAUAAGAAAAAGGAAUCGUAAGGAGCUGAAUUUUUUUUUUAUUGGCAAUGCAAUAUAGGGUCUCUCUCUGUGGACUACUAGAGAGGAAAGAAAUCCCUUCCCGGAAGCCACUUUUUCCUUCUUGCAAUUCGUACUCGGCUUUAGGGAGGUUGAUUUUUGAAUGUUAAAUAGCUAAUGGAAUAUGGUAACUAGCUCAUGAGAAGUUUUACAUCACUGGAUUCAUCUAUUCUUUUUGAGAAUUAAGUCUGAACCCCGUUGGGCGACAAGCAAGGUGAGGUAGUUGUCAAGAGGGGUUAGCCAUGCUGGCUUUUUAAUUGAUGUCAGAAAAAUAAUUGUUCAAGCGCAGCUCGGUGCACUAAAGCAUCCGCGGUGCACAGGGUCCAAGGAAGGGCCAUCAACUUACAAUCAAUGAGUCAACUUACAAUGUUAGUCUCUACAGUAGCAACAUCAACUUUCAGCCCUUUGAUUUUGUUAAGCUCCGCUGAGAAGUAAAUGGUAAUUGUUAGACAGAUGAAUAAAGUUAGCUAAUAAACUCUUAUCAAAUGGCGAAAAUAUUACCAGCCAAAAUCUUAGCCUUUCUGUGAUCUCCUUCCAGCUUAACAAGAUUCUCUUGUAAAGCGGUAAAAGCAGCAGCACAAAGGACACCAACCUGCCUCAUUCCACCACCUAGAGUCUUCCUCAGGAUUUUGGCCUAGAAAACGAAGGACGCAAUGAGCUAUAUUCCAGGAACAAAUAAUCUUUUUUUUUUAAAUCUAAAACCACACCAACCCUGGCAAUGAAGCUCUUCGAACCAACAACCACAGAUCCAACUGGGGCACCAAGACCUUUUGAUAAGCAUAUCUGCAGAGACUCUUAAAUGAGCAGAAAUUCAGGAAAAAUACACUAACAAACUUGUCAUACAUUACAACCUUAAGGCAUAGAACUAUCCCUUCGUUUCUUCUUUAGGAUACCAUGUUAUAAAUAAAAUGUAUUUGUUCAUUACUCAAUAAGUGGAUCAGAAACUAAACACAAUAAAGAGGAAAGGUCAUCUAGAUUUUGGAGAUAAUCACUUACCGAAACUGAAUCAGCAGCCUGUACAAGCCUAUGAACAGGCACUCCAAGUGCCUAAAUGACAUUACAAGUCAGUUAAUCAGAAUGAACAUAAAAGAAAGAAGGCAUCCAAAAAGACAAACGUAGAAGCCCUUAAAAGUAAUUAUGGACAACUCCAAAAUUUAGACUCCUAUAAAACUCAAAAUUGAUGAAGUCAUAUGUCCAUAGAAAAGAAUGAUGAUUAUCAAAUCUGUCAAAAGUCAAAUCAGGCACUUAAGCUAUUGUGCAUAUGUAUGCAGGGUAGCAACUCCAGACAAAAGGUUGUUUCCUAAAAAGCAAAAAAAAAAAAAGUGUACUCACAACUGAUGCAUUGAAUAUGCGAGCUCCAUCAAUGUGAAGCUUCAGACCAUACUUCUUUGCUAGUUCUCCGACUUUGUCUGUGUAUUCCGCAGAAAGGCAUCUGCCUCCAGAGCUGCACUCAUAGAAUGUUGUAGAUUAAGAACUUGCAUUAUAAAGAGAGACAAUAAUCAAACUAACAAGAGCAAUGUGAAGAAAAAAAAUACAUGGAGAUUUAAGUCAUGUUUAGAAUCUAAAUUUUGCUAGGAGUCCUUUAAUCUUGCUAGACAUUUAUGCCAAUUGAAAUGUAGAGAACUUCCAAUGCUAGAGGCACUCGUUCUUUUAUAAUAUUGGACCGAUAUGGGCUUAAACAAAGUGACAUGAUCAGUGAAGAUUCACAUAACCAAUCUCAACUUUCUCAGAAGUGGAGCAUAGUUGUUUCUGGAUGGUCCACGAUAUACGAGAUAUAUACAGCUCUAAAAAAACUAGCACAAAUACAAUAGCAUUACAAGAUAACCCACCAAUUUGAGGGUUGCCGUAAAAAAGGUUAAUGGUGAGAGAAUAUUCUUACUGAGCAUGUGAAUUCUCCAAGCAGAUCAGCCUAGUGGUCGGGUAACAUAUUUCAAAGCUAGGAUCUCGAAUCGCAGCUUCAAUCAGAUCAAGAUCCAUUGUACCAUCUUCAUUGUUCUUUACCGUCCUUGGAUGAACACCUCCAAGGGUGGAAAUGCCUCCAUUUUCAUAAAUAUGGAUAUGGGAAUAAUCACCGAGAAUAAUCUCACUGCCCCUAAUUUGGCAAUGAGUCAGCACACUGAUAAGGUUGCCCAUAGUGCCUGAAGGAACAAAUAAUCCUGCUUCCUUGCCCGUUAUUCUUGCCAUCUCUUCUUCAAGACGUUGGGCUGUUGGAUCAUAACGCAAGACAUCAUCAUCCACUUCAGCAUUGGCCAUUGCGUUCCGCAUGGCUUCAGUUGGUUUAGUGACUGUGUCUGAGCGAAGAUCCACAGUUCUUACCACCAUCUUCACUGAA